GAUUAUGGCUCAGAUUGAACGCUGGCGGCAGGCCUAACACAUGCAAGUCGAGCGGUAGAGAGAAGCUUGCUUCUCUUGAGAGCGGCGAACGGGUGAGUAAUGCCUAGGAAUCUGCCGAUUAAUGGGGGAUAACGUUCCGAAAGGAACGCUAAUACCGCAUACGCCCUACGGGGGAAAGCAGGGGAUCUUCGGACCUUGCGUUAAUUGAUGAGCCUAGGUCGGAUUAGCUAGUUGGUGGGGUAACGGCUCACCAAGGCGACGAUCGGUAGGGGGUGUGAGAGCAUGACCCCCCACACGGGUACUGAGACACGGACCCGACUCCUACGGGAGGCAGCAGUAAGGAAUAUUGGACAAUGGAGGGAACUCUGAUCCAGCCAUGCCGCGUGAAGGAUGAAGGCGCUCAGCGUUGUAAACUUCUUUUGGAUGGGAACAAUAACUUCUACGUGUAGGAGCUUGAGGGUACCAUCAGAAUAAGCACCGGCUAACUCCGUG
Molecule: ribosomal RNA, 492 nt
Filed under: uncultured bacterium
Lineage: Bacteria
Description: bacterial SSU rRNA
Rfam family: Bacterial small subunit ribosomal RNA
Source: RNAcentral